This 497-nucleotide ribosomal RNA is filed under the name uncultured bacterium. Its description in RNAcentral is "partial 16S ribosomal RNA". It matches the Rfam family "Bacterial small subunit ribosomal RNA", at positions 28 to 507 of the family's 1533-position model. The record is from RNAcentral.
GAUGAACGCUGGCGGCGUGCCUAAUACAUGCAAGUCGAGCGAACAGACGAGGAGCUUGCUCCUCUGACGUUAGCGGCGGACGGGUGAGUAACACGUGGAUAACCUACCUAUAAGACUGGGAUAACUUCGGGAAACCGGAGCUAAUACCGGAUAAUAUAUUGAACCGCAUGGUUCAAUAGUGAAAGACGGUUUUGCUGUCACUUAUAGAUGGAUCCGCGCCGCAUUAGCUAGUUGGUAAGGUAACGGCUUACCAAGGCAACGAUGCGUAGCCGACCUGAGAGGGUGAUCGGCCACACUGGAACUGAGACACGGUCUAGAUUCCUACGGGAGGCAGCAGUAGGGAAUCUUCCGCAAAGGGCGAAAGCUUGACGGAGCAACGCCGCGUGAGUGAUGAAGGUCUUCGGAUCGUAAAACUCUGUUAUUAGGGAAGAACAAAUGUGUAAGUAACUAUGCACGUCUUGACGGUACCUAAUCAGAAAGCCACGGCUAACUACGUG